Molecule: long non-coding RNA, 3400 nt
Organism: Prosopis cineraria
Lineage: Eukaryota; Viridiplantae; Streptophyta; Magnoliopsida; Fabales; Fabaceae
Exons: 2
Source: RefSeq, a predicted model, not a curated record
GCUCCUUUGAGUCCUUCACCAUUGACUUGCUCCCUCUACACCAUCAGCCUACUUCUUCCUUCAUCAUCGUUGUUCUGCAACUAAAAGUGGCGAGGCUUGGUUUAUUUUCUCCUCUCCUUCCUUGUUUUGGCUGUCGCACAAGUUCAGCGGUGUGUGUGAGAAGUUGAGUCAUUGAAGAUGAGAAAUCCUUGCCUUUCCUCUAUCCUUCGCUUUUCCUUCUCUAUUCAUGCUUCUACUGCAGUUGCUGCAGUUUUGGUGGUUGUGGGAUGCGUCAAUUUCUUUCUCUCCACUUUUUCCCUCAAUCUAGCUUUGCUCAUUUCUCUUUUGGGUUUUUGUUUGUUCACAUGGCAAUAUAUUGUUGGCUUGCAAAAUUUUCUUUCUUCUCCCUUGUUUAUGUCGCUUAUCGGUGUAGGAAGGAAUUUCAUUUUUCUCAUUCUUCCUCUAUUAAGUUUAGUGUUGAUUACUUUUGUGUUGUGUGUUGAAAUUACAAGUUGAUUAUUUCUUUUUUUUUAGUUUCUGUGCGUGAGGUAUGGGAGAAAUUAAUAAGAUUAAGCAAGCUGAAAUUUAAACAUGGAGAACAUGUUAAAUGGAUAAUUUCACUAAAUUUGUUACAAUUACUUAAGGAAGACGAGAGUGGGUUGAAUUUUAAUCGAGCAUAAAUUGAUUCUUGAAAGGGAAUUUGAUUGGGAAAGCAUGAUGAAUUUAAGUAUGAAUAUUUGGGGACUUGUUGGGCAAAGGGUUGAAGGUUAAAAAAGUUUAAUUGAAUGAAUUGGAAAUUAAUGCACACCAGUUAUUUGUUAAAAGGUCUAAUAGAGAAUCAAAUCUCACUUAAAUUAUUAGUUGUGGCUAAGCAUCAUAGAGAAACUAUGAUAGAAAUUAUGAUGUUGGGGAAAUUUUGAAUUAUUUAAAUUAAUAUUGGUGGUGUUAAUGCUGGAAGGGAGUCUAUUAAAUUUGUAGAAAGCCUUUUAAAACCUCAUUAUUAUAUCUUAUAGGAUAUUUGGAAGAACAUAAAUUUGAAGGAUUAUAUCUUUGGAUUUGAAGUAACGUUAGCCUUUAGCACGCCAUGGUACACUCAGUUAGCAGGGUGCAUUAGAGGUGCUAGCCCCGUGUGCCAGCCAACACAUGUGAAGUGGAGGAUGUAGUUUCAUGGACAUAAUCCAUGCCUGUUAUUCGUGAGCUUUAUACUUGCACCUAUUUUCCUGCUUCUUACCAUGCAGGAUAUGUUAUUUAUCCUCGUGGACUGUGUGUUCACGCUUGUUAAUUGUUCUGAUUUAGUCCUGCUAAAGAAAGAGUUUUGAUGCUUAUUUUCUUUAUGUUUGAUUUUGAAAAGUAAACGAUUAUUAUUUUUUUACGGUAUAUGGAUUUUGUAUUGAGAAACAUAAGUCCCAAGGUGUUUAGGCAUAUGAGGAAAUGAAAGGUGGAACUUGAAUUUCUAAUAAUUUUAAUUUAAUUCUUAUCUUCAUACUUUACGCAUUUACAUAGUUGUUAGUCUUGAUGUUUAUGAAGAUGCAUUUAUAUUAUAACAACUAAUUAUUUUAAUAAGUUUAUAAUUAACUUAUUGAUUUUACUUUCUAUUAUUUAUUUCAACUAUAAAUUGGGACAUUAUUCACUGAAAAUACUUUUGGUCCUAGAUUACAGAGUUAGUGAUGUACCUUCUACUGACCUCUAAUAGGGCUCAUUGCUGAAUUAAUUAAAAGAUCCUUUGAGGACAUCUUUUUUUUUAUGUAAAUGUUUAGUUAUAUGUUAUAUUUUGAAAUUCAUGAUUAGGUGCUCUAUGUUAACUGUAGAUAGAAUCCUGACCUGUGAUAUAUUUAUCUAUUUGUUGUGGAGGAGUAGAGCUCCGCAUUCUUGACUUGGACUGUAUAUUACUGUUGUAAAGAUUUCAAGAGAUCAUAUUUGUUAGGGAGGUUUUUCCGAAAUUUUUACAAAAAAGUUUAGAAAUCUUGUGUGCAUAUGAAAAUAUUAUAAUGACUUUGUAUCCUAUUUCAAAUGGAUUAAAAUAUUAUAUUGAAGUUUCCUUGAUUAAGGCUUAAGGGAUAUAUGUUUGUGCAUAUAUCCUGUGCCGAACAUGUCCAAUUUUGAGGCGUGAUAGUUUCCAUGAUUCAGAUCUUCCCCCAAACAUACACAUAGAGUAAAUUGCAUUCACCUCGUAAUGAGACUACUUGUAAAUUGCUAUUUGCCAUAGAAACAUGUAUAAAUUGUUCUUGUUUCUUCAAUUGUGCUUGAAAAGCUAGUGCACAUUGCUUCAAGGAACUAGGCCUUAAGAGAUAAACAAGAACAUGCCUUGGCAUUGACUCAAUUCUGAAAUUUGGAAUUGCUAAACCAAGCUAAAGGAAUCAAAAGAUUAAUGCUAGGAUUUUCUUUAGUCAAGUCUGAGCAGAAGUAAAGCAAAUUAUGUGGGAUGGCGAUUUUGCACUUUAAAGGAAGAAAGAAAUAAAAAUUAAGGGAUAAUAAGUAAUGUCAUGAACAGAUUGAAGGGGGAGCUAGAGCAUUGAUCUUUGAAUUUCUUUACAAGCAACCUGAAAUUUCCUUUUUUUUUGGUAUCUUUAGAUUUAUUGUCAAACAACUAAGUACUAACCCAUUCUGUUUCUCCAUUCAAACAUGCAUAUAAAAUUGUGCAUUUAGCUUGUAAUGGAAUAUCUACUUUGCCACAACACUAGUGUUAAUAGUUGUAGUUAAACCUUCAUCUGGUAUUUUGUUGAUUCCUUUCCUUUAGCUUUUGACAGAAGGGUUUGUGUCAGUUUCCAUUAUUUUCAUCUUCCCUUGAUGAGCUGGACUUGAAAAACUUAAGAUUGUAAAAUCUAGAGUUUGCUUCACAAAUAUAUUCUAUAUCAUGUGUGCUGACAACACCUUUCUAUUUGGACUAGGGGAGAAUCUAGUAGUUAAAUUCACUUGAUAUUACUUUCAUUGCUAGAGGAUAAAGGAGAAAUUAUAUAUUUUAAUUUUCUAAUAAUGGAUAUUUGUUCCUUAGGAUUAAUGAAAUUGGCUUUUGAUUUUUAAUCAUGUAAUCAUUUUUUUUAUUAACCAAAUGGCUUGUACGUUCACUUAGUUCAUGUUCCUGAUUUUUGCUAAUUUAUUUUCUUGGUUGUUCAAUGAAAUUGUUAGGUUUGUUAUGGAUGAGCCCUUGAUACUAAAGUUUCAAGUUUCAAAAGAAAAGGAGUUGAGUUUACUCCGUUAGACAUAUCUCUCAGGGAGACGAUCAAAAGCUUGAAAGACAAGAAGUUUCUUGAUUUUUAAUCAUGAUAUCUCCUGCAAAUAUUGAUAAUCGUGACCAUGUUUUCAUCCACACCUUUGGUUUUGAAGGCUUGGCAUCCUUUGUAAAACAUGGUUGAAAGGACAUAAUUGUGAUACGAGGAUUGUAAUAAAUAAUGAUAAUUAAUUUUAAUUUUACAUUUCAUAA